GCUCCCGUAGUGUAGACCGGCCAAUCAUUUCGGCCUUUCGAGCCGAAGACUCGGGUUCGAAUGCACACAUUGCGAGC
This 77-nucleotide transfer RNA is filed under the name Thermoplasmata archaeon. RNAcentral describes it as "tRNA-Glu". Lineage: Archaea; Methanobacteriati; Thermoplasmatota; Thermoplasmata. The record is from RNAcentral.